CGUGGGGGUGGGUCAACCAUUGGUCAGAGGCACUGUGACCUAACCCGCGUGCCGCAGCCGCCUCCUCUCCUCCUCGAUUCUUCUGCUGCCGCAGCCACCCCCCUCUCCUCUCCCCCAAUUCUCCCACCACCGCCGCCGCCUCUCGUCUCAUCCAUGUAGCCAGGGCCUAGACGUCAUCGGCUCAGUCCGCGGCGGUAUGGAUGAGGAGGCGAGAGCUUCAGAGGCAGGGGCGAGGAAGCAGAGAGUCCUUCCCGAGGGCGCCCCAACCUGCCAGAUCUUCCAACUCAUCGGCCCAGGCAAGAUGGAGCAGGACGGGGUGACGAUUCCUGGCGGCGUUCGCGUGCUUUGGCUAGCGGCCUGCACUUCCUUCUUCCCCUGGUGAGUUGUCCUUGAUCUGAAAAAAUAUUUACUUCCCACUGAUUUGUUGCUUGUCGGCGGGAGCCUGGGGCGCCGCCAUGGCCAAUAGGAGAAGCACGGGUGACCGCUGCAGCUGAGCUUACAUGUAAGAUAGCCCCGAGCCCCCGACACAUCCUCUGCCACACCAACCUUGCAGCAUCUGGCCUUUGCAGAUUCAUUUAGGUAUCCACCUACCUACAAGUUGUUUGAUGAAAAUCCAAACUGCUGCAGGGGCAGAUUAAUAUAUGUGUAAUAAUAUAUGCUUGAUGACCUGCUCAAAUUUGUACUGACAUUUACGUCCAGUCCUUGAUUAGUUCUUUUGCAAAGCAGGUUCAACUGUUGAAAGCUAUGGAUUUACUGCUUGGCCAUCAUGUUUGAGCUGAUAUUCUGCUUUCUUUCUUUCUAGAGAUAUUCAAGAAAGAAGAUAGUGCGACAAGGCUAAAGGGCUACUAUGGUAAAAAUCUUUCUUUAUUUUGUUGUGACCUGUCUUAUUUGGUUCUAUUGUGCAUAAAGAAUACUUGGUUUUAUCAACUCCCAGCUUGAUAGUUAACUGCUUCCAUCUAUCAACUCCCAGCUUGACAGUUAGAUGUUUCCAUCUUUAUAUUCUAAUUUGAUGUUUUUUGAUUCAUGGUAUAUGGAGGAUGCAGAAAAUGAUGGAGCGCAUGAUGCUUCAGCAGAUUCUGCAUUAUUGUCAAACGCCUUUCCUGAGGUGUUAUUUGUUUACACCUGAGGAUGAAAAUAAAGUUGUAUGUCCCACUAAUUAGAUCAACUGCUCAGGGAAAAAAAGAGAUGUGCCUUCUUUGCAUUAGCUCCACCAUGGUUCUGCCAUAUGUCUAAUUACGAUGCACCCUUUUCAGACCAUUUCCACCGCACAUGUGUGUUCGUGCUCAUUUUUUGUUCUCUGACUUUUUGAUCAUGCCUAUGAAUGCCCAUCGUAUAUAUUUGUUCACUGUCUUUUGAUCACAGUUGUGUAUACACUCAUGCCUACUGUAUUCCCUGCAUUUUUCCUCUACUAUGCAAACUUCUUACCCUUGGACUACUAAUUAAAUCAAGCUUGCCACUUUGUACAGUGUGAUUAUUUCAUGUAUUUUUGGUAUGUGUUAGCUAUGACUUGACUGGCUCCAGUCUGGUAGAGAACACAACUAAUUUGCAUUUCCUGGAAUAAAAUUACUAUUUGUGAUUUUGGUAUGGGCUAGCUUUGAUUUGGAUGAUUUCAAGUCAGGAACAUGAGUGGGCUAAUGUAUUAUGCAUGACCAUGGGAAGACGGUAUUUUCUAUGGUAGAAUUAGUGUGGUGGUAUAAAAUUAUAAGUUCACUUCAUGGUCGGUAGGUUCACCGCUGCAUUUUGUUUGUCGAUGCCUUGACUUUUAGGCUGUCACAGGUAGUCGCGCGUCGCCGCGGGCGAGUCUCUGAUCGCCUUGCUCUGUUUCACUGUUUCAAUAUUUCCAACUUAUUACAUGAAUGGAUCUAAAAUAACAAACUUUCAACAUCCUAUGCUUUUUCUACGAGUUGAUGGUUUUUACUUAACCAUAAAUGCUUCCAUGAUAUGCUGGCACAUUCUCUCACUUCAUUCCUGGAUUUUGCUGACAAGGAUUGGAAAUUUCUAUUACCCCCGAGAACUAAAAAUUAUCGACCACUCGAUUACAUGGUGUUGAAUUAUUUGAACGCUACCAAUGUCUAUAUAGAAAAAUAAGGAAACUUUUUUUAACUCUAUUGAGCAAUGAGUACACUCUACAAGGUUAGCCUUGCUGCCAUUGGUAUUAAAGUACUAGCAAUUAUCUUUAGCUAUUCUUCUUUCAUCUAUAUCCUGAAGGAGACCCGAUGGCAUGGCUGUACAAGUGGCACCCACUCUACAAGGUUAGCCUUGCUGCCAUUGGUAUUAAAGUACUAGCAAUUAUCUUUAGCUAUUCUUCUUUCAUCUAUAUCCUGAAGGAGACCCGAUGGCAUGGCUGUACAAGUGGCACCCCUGGUCAGGUGGACGUUGGAUGCUUUCUUCAGUGUUUCUCUUUUCCCGCAGGCUUGAUUUCCUUGUGGUCGUAACCCAACUCCCAAAAGUCAACGCUUUCUUGGAGUCCUAAUCCAUCUACUUGUCCCCCUCUCUGUUCUUUCUAUUGUAACGCGAUCUUUCUUGGAGUCCUAAUCCAUCUACUUGCUCCCCUCUCUGAAGAUAUCAUGCUAUGGGACUUUUCGGCAGAACCUAAACUAUGGUUUUACUUGCAGCUCAGUUUUCACAUCCUUCCCAGGUUUCACAAAAACAUAAACAUGCUUGGAUGUGUGUCCUUGCCGGCGACCUCGCUGUCUCCAACCCAUCCGUCUGGACAGGUAGCUUGCUAUCCUCUCAUCGUGUCUAUUGGUGCAGUAUCUCAUAUCCUCUCUCGAAGAGAUGAGAUAAGGAUUAAAGGACUACCAACUGAGUUCUACAGCUCACCUCACCAAUAAUGGAAGACAUCCUCACCUCACCUAUAAUGGAAGACAUCCCGAGUCAUUGUUUUGCAUGCUAGAUAACAACAACUAUCACGUUGGUGAUUUCCCUGAUAUCUGGUUCUACAAGUGUGUCAUAUGGACCAAUGAAAGAAAAGAUAUUUCGGAGAUAAUAACUAUAUGGGCUACUCCAAAUGGUCUGACAGUGGAACCAACUUUUAUAGGCCCUCAAGUACCUGUGGAAGUCUACCAUGCAAGCAUUAUCCGACGAUGACACUGCUUUUUCGUACAUAUCAUCUUAAGACCAUGGUCAGACUAAGAAGAUGCCUAAAUAAGCCAUGAGGCUGCCUAUAUAUAAGUGUUUUUCUAUAAACUGAUCUAAGUCAUUCUACUAUCUGUAAACCAAUUUAAGUUAUUCUACUAUUUGUAAACCCAUCUAAGUCAUUGUAUUACCUGCAAUACAAUCCACAUUGCAUUAUCUUUCA
Molecule: long non-coding RNA, 3301 nt
Organism: Triticum aestivum (bread wheat)
Lineage: Eukaryota; Viridiplantae; Streptophyta; Magnoliopsida; Poales; Poaceae
Exons: 4
Source: RefSeq, a predicted model, not a curated record